Molecule: long non-coding RNA, 244 nt
Organism: Amphiprion ocellaris (clown anemonefish)
Lineage: Eukaryota; Metazoa; Chordata; Actinopteri; Pomacentridae
Exons: 3
Source: RefSeq, a predicted model, not a curated record
CAACCAUGAGGCGGCGACGAAAGCGGACAGGUGGAGGGCAGCUUUUCCUAUUGUUUGUGUGUUCUGCUGCCCUGAUGACACCCGAGCUGAACUCUUCUCCUGACAGGUCUCUGCUGAGCAAGCCCACUCUGACCGGUAAAGAGCGUGUGCACUGUGUGGGUCGCAUCGAUGCCGAGUUUCUGUCUUGUACAGCAGCGAGCAUUAGUCAUCCAGGUUGGUGGAUGAAGAGAACAAGUACCUCAGG